RNAcentral lists this ribosomal RNA (500 nucleotides) under uncultured bacterium. RNAcentral describes it as "partial 16S ribosomal RNA". It matches the Rfam family "Bacterial small subunit ribosomal RNA", at positions 30 to 523 of the family's 1533-position model. The record is from RNAcentral.
AUUGAACGCUGGCGGAAUGCUUUACACAUGCAAGUCGAACGGCAGCACGGACUUCGGUCUGGUGGCGAGUGGCGAACGGGUGAGUAAUGUAUCGGAACGUGCCCAGUCGUGGGGGAUAACGUAGUGAAAAUUACGCUAAUACCGCAUACGAUCUAUGGAUGAAAGCGGGGGAUCGCAAGACCUCGCGCGAUUGGAGCGGCCGAUAUCAGAUUAGGUAGUUGGUGGGGCAAAGGCCCACCAAGCCAACGAUCUGUAGCUGGUCUGAGAGGACGACCAACCAAACUGGAACUGAGAAACGGUCCAGGCUCCUACGUGCGGCAGCAGUGGGGAAUUUUGGACAAUGGGCGAAAGCCUGAUCCAGCCAUUCCGCGUGCAGGAUGAAGGCCCUCGGGUUGUAAACUGCUUUUGUACAGAACGAAAAGGUUUCUACUAAUACUAGGAGCUCAUGACGGUACUGUAAGAAUAAGCACCGGCUAACUACGUGCCAGCCGCCGCGGUAA